CACCGCCUCGCGCGCCUGCCCGCCUCUCUCUUUUCUUCCCACCCCCACGCGCCGCGCCGUCGUGUCUCACAGACGCUGUGGAGCCGGGAGGAGGCCGGAAAAGGGGUAGAAGCCGAAGGAGCUGCCGCUUCCGCCUGCCUUGCCGCUAGCUUUUUGCGCCGCCCCUCUUUUCUGUGUUUCCGCGCAGUCCGUCAGGUGGCGGGCCUCACGACCCCGUGCGUUUUUCAUUCUGACCUGAGGGGUUAUCCUGGGCCUGAGUAAAUGUGGAGUUGAGUUUGAGAAGCCCUAGGACUAGAUUUUCUAACUUUCGCUUCUGCUGUGGCACGGGACCCGCAACGUUGCCAUCUCUUAUGUUGAAGGGGAAACAGGCUUUGCGAGGCCGCACUCCUGCUUUCUGCUAGUUCACUAACGUUUGCUAAGUCAUUCUUCUGUAAUUCUUGCCGAGGCGGUCUUAUGUAAGUCUAGAGGCGUCCCUGGCAUGUAGCCACUAUUGUUCGCCACCGCUAGAAAAGCCCUGUCCCCCACCACGGGGCGAGGAGAUCUGCUUAGUCAUGCUGCUGCCCAGGACGUUCCUCGCAUGUAUGGCCUACUCUGCUUUCUUCCUUUCUGGGCAGCCAACAUCUUCCUAGAGUGGGCUCACAGCUUCACCACAGUCCACAACGAAAGAAGUAGUUGGAUCUGUGGACAAUUCCCCGUCUCAAGUGCCAAAGCCUUGCCUUGGAGUGUGGAGCUCCUGCCUGGAAACAAUUGGGCAGCUAUGGGAGACAUGGGGAGGCAGUAUUAAAGCCUUUUAACUAAUUGGGGUAUAACAGGAGGGAUGUGUACGACAUCAUCUUUUCCUGGACUCAGACUGUUGCAGACACCCACAUCUUAGUAAGAGAUUGCAACACUUCUCAGUUGCAGCCAUGAGAAGGUAUUUACAAACUCUGGGUUGGUUUAGGUUGUUUAGUACCUGUCAUGGAUUGAAUUUUGUCCCCUCCCAAAAUGUAUGUAUAAGUUUGGCUGGGCCAUGAUUCCCCAUAUUGUGUGGUUUUCCUCUAUUUUGCGAUUGUAAUGUUAUGUUAGAGAGGAUUAGGGUGGAAUUGUAAUUUUAUGUUAAAGAGGAUUAGGGUGGGAUUGUAACACCCUUACCAGGUCACAUCCCUGAUCCAAUGUAAAGGGAGUUUCCCUGGGGUGUGACCUGCACCACCUUUUAUCUCUCAAGAGAUAAUAGCGAAGGGAAGCUAGCAGAGAGUGUGGACAUCAUACCACCAAGAAAGGAGCUCUGGGAGCAGAGUGAGUCCUUUGGACCUGAGGUUCCUGUGCUGAGAUGCUCCCAGAACAAGGGAAGACUGAUGUCAAGGACCUUCCACCAGAGCCGACAGCAAGAAAGCCUUCCCCUGGAUCUGGUGCCCUGAAUUCGGACUUCUAGCCUACUGGACUGUGAGAGAAUAAACUUCUCUUUGUUAAAGCCAUCUACUUGUGGUAUUUCUGUUACAGCAGUGCUAGAUGACCAAGACAGUACCCGAACAGGGUAUGUUAGGGAAACCUACUUCUGUCUGUUCUGAACCAAGUAAAACCCCAUGAGGUCCCCUGUAUCCCUCCAAUUCCUCCUCCCACAUAGUGGGCUGGACUCCUGGGUCCCACUGCCAAUGGGUGAUAAUGCCUAAUACCACUGAAUGGUUACAGUAUAAAAACCCCAAUGGGACUGCAGGAGAGUACCUUGCUCCUAACAGCACUCAAUGGCUGUGUGGCCACUACUUGUGGCCUUGGUUUACUGUAUGAUUGGAUAGGGUGCUGCACUUUGGAGUUACCUUAUGCUGCAGGAACCAUUAGAAAAACUAUACCAAAACCUUUGAACUACCCAUCAGUAAAAGCCAGGUGGACCGAGCAUAGUCUUUUCCACUGGCGUGAUUUCCUUUUAAAUGUUUUUGUUCCCCCGUUGGCUCCUUAGAAGUAAUGGGACAAAUUGAAGCUAUAAUUUUACUAAACAGGGCCUGAACAAUAGCAGAGGAAGCUUGUGGCCAUUGACCGAUAAAACCACCCAAAUGUGGAAGGUAGUCCUUCAGAACUGAAUGAUUCUAGACAUUCUAAUGGCUGGCCACUCAAGGGAGGACAUGUGCCAUAGUAAAAACUGAAUGUUAUACCUAUAUACCAGACUACCCACAAAACGUAACUGAUUUUUUAGGACAUAUUAAGAAACAGAUAGAAGCCUUGAACACACCUGAUGUCUGGUCUGCUGUGGCCACCUGGUUUUCCUCUUUCUCUUCUGGCUGGUGAGGUAUUUUGUUGGGUCUUUGUCUUUUCCUGGUGUGAUCAUUAAGGUUGCGUGUCAACUUGGCUGGGCCAUGAUUCUCAGUGGUUUGGUGGUUAAGAUGUAGUUUGGCAGUUGUAUAAUGAUAAAAUCACCUCCAUAAUGAGAUUUGAUAUAAUGCCAUCACCUCCAUGAUGUGAUCGGCUGUGAGUAGCCAAUUAGUUGAAAGGGAGUUUCCUUGGGGGUGUGGCCUGCAUCAAAUAUAGGUGGACUUUCUGGCAAGGUUCGCUGAAUUUUGCUCACUCAGAAUCCUGCCGCUGGCUCCUGUUUGUCUGACCUCUGAUUCUUGGAACUUGAGCUAGCAGCUUACCUGCCAUCUUGCCUGCUGAUCUCGGGAUUUGUCAGUCACUGCAGCCAAAGAGUCAGAGCCUUGCUGCCUGACCUGCCAAUCUUGGGUCAGCGCCUGCAGCUACGUGAGUCGGAAGAAGCUUCCAACCUGAGCCAGGGACUUGGGACUUUCCAGCUUCUACAGCUGGUGAGCCAUUUCCUUGAUAUAAAUCUCUCUGUGUAUAUAUUCAUACACUUUACUGGUUUCACUUCUCUAGACAGCCCAGCUUAAGACAUUUGGGUAUAUUGAUUUCCUGCUGUUUGUCUAUAUUGUUGGUGUGGUCUGUGCCUCCCAAUGACAGCAAAGCUGUCUGUCCCUACCUGCAAAGGGACCUUGCUGAAGAGGGAGAAUGUGCCAGACUGUAAGAGCUGACCUCAAGGGGUAGAAUGAAGGGGAAACAGGCUUUGCAAGACCGAACAUGGCUGCCGUUAUUCUUUCUGCUAGUGCACUGCCAUUUGCUAAGUCAUUCUUAUGUAAUUUAUGCUAAGGCAGCCUUAUGUAAGUUUACAGCCAUCCCUGGCAUGUAGUCAUUAUUGUUCUCCACCACUAUAAAACCCCUGGUUCCCACUGUGGGGUGAAGAGAUCUACUUGGUCCUGCUGCUGCCCAGGACUUUCCUUGUAUGUAAGUCUCCCUAAUAAACCCCUUUGCUGCCACACUGGAGUUGCCUGCCUCUUUCUUCAGUCUCUUGGUGCCCCUCCAUUUUUGGAGACAAGUUUCACGUUACUGGUCCCUGCCAGGAUAUAUAUAUAUAAAACCCACUGCUGUUGAAUCGAUCCUGAGUUGCUGUAUAUAUAUACAUACAUAUAUAUGUACGGCAACUAACAACAGCUACUACGUUUUGUCUUUAGCCUAAGAGACCUUAGGCGUGCUAUAGCUGCCCAAACAUGGGACCGGUGGGAUCAGAGUUCCAGCCUCGCUGCACUUACAGGGUUUUCAGGGAGCACCAGGAGUGAACUAGUCAUUAACAGGCUUCUCCAAGCAGUCUGGAUGCCAGAAUCAUCUAGCCCAAGGCUGAGUUCUAUAAAACCACACUUUUCACACAGAACUAUUUGCCUUGUCAGGAAGACAAGCAGCUACAGAGGAGUGAUAGCAACAAGAUGAGAAAGAGGAGAUCAAGGUGUGUUCUCCAUAUUUAAGUGCCAGGCAUCUUCUCAAUCUGUUCUGAGAACAAGACACAAUGUCCUGGACACUGUAUGCUUUCCACCUGACCCUGCACACAUAAACACAACCCUCCUCCUGGAAGGGAAAGUAAACCCAGAGCAAAGAGAGGCACAUCAACUGGCUUUGUCCAGCAGUUUCUGCCCUCAGAGAAAAAUAAAUAAGAUUCAGUUCCUCCUCUCAAAGAGUCUACAUCUAAUAGAGUUGAAGAGGCUUCCACAAAUAACCACAAUGCCAAGGAGUGUGUGAUAAGUGCCACAAAAUGUGUGAACCAAGCUUUGUAGGAGUGCCAGGCACAACCUCCAGCUGUAAAAGGCAUCCUUUGACAUGAGCAGAAUUCGAGUGUGGUCUUGAAGAAAGUGUUGGAAGUGUAGACAUGGGCGUGCAUGUUAUAGGAGAGGAGACUGCAAGGAUCAGAAGAGAAUUUCUGGAACUGACAGAGCAGGAUCAGGAUGGGGAUUAGGACAAUGGAGCAAUGGGCAGACAACUAAAAGAGCCUAAGGGGAUAAAAGACUGGAAAGGAGACUGGAGAGAUUUCAGGUCCUGCCUGAAAUGGCAGGCAGAUAUUGGAGGAGGUUUUAGAGCAGAGAGGAAAUGGCUGAGGUUGCUUCACACCCACGGUACAGUGGUGUAGCCCAGAGACCCAUUAGAAACCUCUCACUGUGGAGGUGAUUUCAAGGGAGGAAAAGAGAUAAACAAAUGAGCCAUGCUCGGUGUUGGGUGGAGGAAGGGGGCAGGGGGCUGGCCCAGAGAAGGCGUGGUAGGUUAUUUGAACAGAUUUCCUAUUUUUUUUAUGUUGAGUUUUGACUAAUCAAAAUUAGUUUGCACUCCCUGAAACAUUAUGCACUAUCUGGAAACAGAAACCUCUUGGCAGCUGGCUAGGUAGUAGGGGAAAGUAAACUUGGAAUUAAAACUGCCUUGAAUAACUGCAUGGGGACCCUGAGUGGCGAAAACAUUUGGUGCUGUGCUGCUAAUCUAAAGGAACUAGAAACAAUGAACAUCUGUCUGUGUGUUCCUGCUAUUGUGGGAGUGACCUACCAACUUGGAAGGAAAUGACAAGAGUGAGUGAUUCAGCCUGGGUAACACCCAAGACCCAGGGCUGUGUUCUGUGAGGCCACUUUGACCUGGGGAGAAGUGUAAGCCACAUAUCCUGCCCAGGCCUUAUAAACAAACCCCAGGACUGGACAACCCACCCACUGCAGGGGGCCUUGGGUCACAAGUUGUUUUUGUUGUUGUAUGCUGUUGAGUCAAUUCCAACUCAUAGCAACCCUAUAGAACAGAGUAGAACUGCCCCCAUAGAGUUUCCUAAGUUGUAAUCUUUACGGGAAGAGAUUGCCAGGUCUUUUCUCCUGUGGAGCAACUGGUGAGUUCAAACCAUUAACCUUUCAGUCAGCAGCCAAGCGCUUAGCCACAUAAGCAGGAGAGAAAGCAGGAAGGGAACUGGAGGGAACAGGCCUGGCUGAUUGGUCACUUGCUAUGGGAUCUUGGACUACGACAGUCCAGCUGUGGAUUUGUAAGCCUGGGUGUGGGAACAUUAAGUUUUAUUUGGUUCCAAAUCAGAAAGUUCCUGCCUUGGUGGUACCACAGCUUACCCUACACUAACUGGACUUGGCCCUCCCAAGUUGUCUUUGGUCCAAACUUGGCCAGCAAUCACAGAGCACACAUAGCAGACUUGUUCCUUCAGUAUUCACAAAUACUGGGCACAUUUUAAUCUGAGGUGACCGUGAAUGAGAAAUAUUUUUGGUCCCUUCUUGCCUGUGCUUCCUGAACCUGCCUAAGGAGAUUACAAAAAAGUAAAAGGCUCUAGAAAUAUACUUUAGAAGAGCAAAAUGUUUCAUCAGAGAUCCCUGGGUAGCACAAAUGGCUUGCAUUCAGCUACUAACCUAAAGGUUGAUGGUUCAAACCCACCCAGCAGUGCCAUGAGAAAAGGCCUGACAAUCUUCUUCCUUAAAGAUUACAGCCAAGAAAACCCUAUGGAGCAAUUCUACUCUGUAACACCUGGGGCUGCCAUGAGUCAGAAUUUCUAACCUCUGUUAUGCAAGGAUUAGGUUACUGGGGCUGGUGACAGAGGCAAAAAAAAAGAAACAAAAACUGAACAAGCCUCACAGGAAGUAAGAUUGAGGUGAUUCUAGAAAGGUGUAGAUACCUUUCCUGCAUUGGAAACUCAUUUUGUUGUGCAGAUUCCAUUCUGGUUGUGCCACUGCUUGUGGCCAACCCCGUUUGGGUAGGGAAGGUGUGGCACCCUAGGUUCAGGUGUAGCCAGUGUCUUCUCUUCCUCCUCUAAUUCCAUUACCAUGGAUGUCUUAAUCACGAACAAGUAUUUACAGGUUACUUUGUGUGUGUUGCUUGCCCCUUGCACAGAGUAAAUUCUCAGUAGGCAUUUCUUGGAUGAAUGAAUUAACGAAUUAUCUAGAUACUAGUUAUUCUUUCAUUUGACUAAUAGUACUCGGUGUCCCUACCUUCUAGGGGUUCACAGCCAGCGUGGUUGGGGAAGAUGGUUACACAUGUAAUUAUAGUGUUGUAUGAUAAAAAUGCUACAAGAACACAGAGGGUCCAGAGGAUUGUGCUGCAGACGCUUCACUGGGAAGGGAACUUAAGCAACUGGAGUAGGGAGCAAAUGUAUAUUUAACAUUCCUCUUGGUUGUUGAGGAUGCAUGACGAGGUCUGCAAGUUAUGCUUGGGGCCAGGCCUUUAAAUUCACACACACGCACACACAAGUACAUGCCAGGGACUGUGGAGACUGGGAUAACAGAUUCUUCCUCUGCAGGGAGACUCAGAUCCCUUUACCAGCCUCCCUGUGGAGCCAGGUGACCUGCAGGACUGUAGAACACUCCCCAAGGUGAGCUUCAUGAGCCUCUGAAGGCUGCUCAGAGCUCUAGGCAUCAAAUGGGCCUGCUUUAUGGACUCCUAUCCCUGGGUGGCUCAAAUGGUUAAGCAUUCAACUACUAGCCAAAAGGUUAGCAUUUCAAACCCACCCAGAGGCACCUUGGAAGACAGGCCUGGUGAUCUGCUUCCAAAAGGUCCCAGCCUUGAAAACCCUAUGGAGCAGUCCUACCCCCCACACAUGUGGUCAUUAUGAAUUGGAAUUGACUUGAUGGUAACUGACAACUACAACAACCCUGUCCUUUUAGAUCGCAACUACAUUAGAACUGGGAGGGGUACUGGGGACAGGGUCUCUGUCUACAGAAUGAAUGAUGAAAGACUGGUGGGUCCCUCCCCAUACACCACUGUUAUGUCAUGUCAUACCAGUCUCGGUACUUCUGGUUGCAAGUAAGAGAAUACCCAGAAGCAAGUGGCCUACCCAGUUUGUGAUUUUUGUUUUCUCACAUGACAAGUCUGGAGUUGAGGUCUUGGAGAAGUCAAAGCUGAAGGGUGUCAAGGCUACAGGAGCACAGAGGGUCAUGCUUCUCUGUGGCCCUCUUGGCCUUCCUUCCUUUCAAGAUCCUGAGGUGGCUGCCUUGAUGGCCAGGAUUCUAGGUACCCUCAACAAUGCCCCCCACCAAAAAGGGAGGGAGGAACCUUCCCCUCUGAUACCUCAUAGGAUCAUGGGAGCUUUCCCAGGAACCCCUGCACUUUUCUGAGCCAAGACCUGGUCAUCUGCCCCUACCUUUGCAGUCAGUGAUGCUGACUAGGAAAGCAGAUUCUGCCAGGAAUUUGGCUAGGAAGCUCAGCCAGGAGAAAGGCUUGGGAAUGGCUGUUGGAUAGAGAGCAGCAGUGUCUCUGAUUUGUGCACUACCCCUCUGGGAAACAGUGAGGAUUAUGCCAUCCCACUGCCAGGGCCCAUGAGGCCUCACUCCUUCUCUCGUUUGUGCCCCUGUAGUGAAUUUAAGGGAAUUUUGGGGGGGAUUAAGGAAAAAUAUAUGACCGUGAGAUAGGAGGGUUGCACAACAAGCUAUUAAUUGGGCCCUGUGCCCUGGUGGUGCAAUGGCUAAGUCCUUUGCUGCUAUUGGCUGCUAACCAAAAGGUUGGUGGUUUAAACCCCCCAGCCGCUCAACAGGAAAAAAGACCUGGUGAUCUGCUCCUAUAAAGAUUACACCCUAAGAAACUCUAUGGGGGCAGUUCUACUGUCAUAUAAGGUCAUUAUGGGUUGGGAUCAACUUGGUAGCACACAACAACAGCAAAAACAUGCAUUGAUAAGGUUUUGUGCUUAUCUACUAAUCUAAAGGUUGACAGUUCAAACCCACCCAGCAACACUGUGGAAGAAAGGCCUGGCAAUCUGUUUUCAAGAAAAGCCCAUGGAGCAGCUCUACUCUGUAACACAUGCGGUCGCCAUGAGUCAGAAUUGACUGGACAGAAACAGAUUUGGUUUACAAACUGACAGCCUCAAGGAGGGGGGCUGGAGGCCUUCCAAAGGCCAGGGAGCCAUCAGAAGGGAAAGAGGCAUGAAACACCCCAGGAAGAGGAAUGAUGUCCUCCUGUAGAAAGGUAGGGAGUCUCCGGACCAGAAUUCUGAAGGCCAGAUGCAGUUGAAGGUCCUUACAACCACAGGGUUUUAUCUUAUCUGGGGCUAGCAGAUGCUGGGUGCAGUUUCAUGGGGUAUGUAAACAGGCAGGCUCUAAGGGUUAAAAAUCUGCUUAUCUGGGCUAUUUUAAAACAAAUUUGAGUUUGGCAAUUGGCAGGCUUUUUUGGGCUAAUUGGUUUCAGCUUGCUAUGAGUAAGUAAAUAAUUUGCAGCCGAUAUACAGAGGCCAUUUUUGGCUCAUUUGUAUAAUGACCCCCAGCUGCCAAUCUGACAGUGUCUGAAGUAAAACAGGUGUUGGGUAACUCCUAUGAUCAGCUACAGCUGGACUUCAUUUUAGUAGCCAGCCCAGGUAUGUCAUACCGUGCAUGAAAGAAUGCUCUUUGGUGAGUGUAAUAACAAAAACCUGCCAAGUCCAGAGUAAUCUGACAGGGAUCAUGGCCUGUUCUUUAUAAAUCCAUGCUGUGUUCUCUUGGGGAAAUUUUUAGGCAGUAUUUUUUACUUAGUAUUGCCCCAAAGUUAAAUCUUAAGAAAUUUAUUAAGCUUACCAGAGUAGGAAUGCUUCUCUGAAAAUAAGCUUGCUUUAUUGUUCUUUUGGGGAACUACUCUGAGACGGUUAGAAGAAGGAAGUCAUCUGAUCAAGGGCUAAUUGUGCAAGAAGUGCCUGACCUAGUUUUAUCAGAAUUAAUCUUAAAAACAAAGCAAGGCAGGCCCAUCUUCUUCUCAGGUCUGUUGUCUAAAUACUGCUGCCCACUCCCAGAGCAAACAGAGUCCUAUAGCCCAAGGCCAGGACCUCCUGCAGGCUCACUGUGAUCCCUACUCUUUUACUUAUUAAUUUGAACUGAUGAUUCACAAUGGGGUGGGGUGAGUCAGGUCAGGGCCAGUAGCAGUUACACCUUCGAAUGAUAAAGGAUCCAUGUGCUGGAGCGCUUGCUCAAGAGUGCUAACGUUAUUGGGUAAAGAUGUCCAGUUCCUUUUAGAGGAAGCUAUUGAAGUUUUAGAAAAAAAAAAAAAUUUUUUUUUUUUUAUUGAAGUUUUAACUGGUUUUACUCCGAGUCUUCCUGAAGGAGAGGGUUAGGAAGGACUUUCAGUUAAGGGAAGCAGGUAGCUUGGAGUCUGAGGAGGGAUGUUCCCCAGCCAGGGUCAGCCACAUUGGAAGCUUGGCAGCUCCCUUCCUUGGCAGCCCAAAGGAUAAGCUGAGAGGCAAAACAAGUGGGUGAGAAGGGGUGAGUCACCAGGCACCCUUGGGGACAAGCCUGGAGUUAGUCGGAAAGCCCUGGGUUCCCAUCCUGAACCUAACCAGAGAUUGUGGCCUGGGCCGCACUGAACCAGAGGAGAAAGGGUUAAGUGGGAGCGUGAAAUCUCUCCUUGUAGGUCCAGCUGGUAGGUCAAUUAGCAGGACCUUAGGUCUCCAGACUUUCCAAAAUGGCAUCUCUGAAGGUGGGCUGUGGAACGUUUUACCAAGAACGGGGCCUUGGCUAUCUGGUUUCAGCUCCAGCUGCCCCCUACCUGCCCCAAAACUACACUUGCUGAAAGACACUCAAUCCAGUGACACCUGUCCCAGCUGACCAUUCUUCUUCAUGAAAUGUCCCUUCCCUCAGAGCCUUAACUCUGUCUUUGCUCCUCUGCAGCUGCCUCUUCCCAACCUGACCUGGAAAAAGUGUGACUCAUAGGCCUCAGGUGUAGGCCCCCUGACUUUUUUUCUUGCCACUCUUUCCAGGUGAUCUUAUCCUCUUCAGUGGCUACUGUACCUUGGCCAGACCUUUGCCUCCAACUCAUAGUCCACCUGCCCCAGAUAUGUCCAUCUGGAUGUCUUAUGCAACAUAUCCAAAUCUGAACACAUUCCCCCUCCACAAAACUUGCUCCUCCUUGUGUAGCCAGUCUGUCAACGAUGCGACCUUCCCACCUCAGGCCCUCACUUGCUGUUACUGCUGCCUGGCCACCCCUCCUUGAGCUGCUUCUUGACCUCUAUUCAGCUUCACUGUCACUUCCUCCAGGAGGCAAGCAUGAUCCUCUCAAUUGGGCCAGGCCCUUUUAUUUAUUUAUUCGCAAAGCAUCCUGUACUACCUUGUAGAACUAAACACGCUUUUAGUAAUUAUCUUCCUUCUGCCUUCCUAAGAACUGUAUCGCUGGCAUCCAGCAGAGGACCCGGCACAGAAGGGCUGAAUGAAUGCUGCAGUGAGGGAGUAAAGGGCUUUUGAGGAAGAGAGGGAUAUGGCACUAAGAGGGGGUCACGAAUGACCUGGGUGUACCCAGAUAUACCCAGGUGUACAAGUUACUCUUCAUUCCAGGAGUCAUAUCUGGAAUCUGAAAAAAAAAGGUACAGCAUGGCUUUCAAAAAUCUCCAUCUCCUAGUCUGAGUGGGCAUUUUCCUAUUUAUAUUGAUUGAAAAAUGUUUGCUGGUGCAUAUAUGGCGGGCUCCAUGGGCCCUGAGAUGGCCAGCCCCAGUCCAUCCCUUAGGCUUUCACCCUUUGGGGAUGCAGACCCAUCGCUCACAGAUGUAAUCAAGACUCCUGAGGAGCACAGGGAAAGCACAGAGUUCUGCCUGAGUCACUUCAGGGGACACUCAAAAGCUGAGAAGGUAGAAAGGCCUUGUGGCCAGAUGGGCCUGUACAGGUGCUCUCCUGAGGUAGGAGGGAGACAAACCAGAGUAGGUGCAGAGGGCCCUUCAUCCCCCAGUGACUUGAGGGCGGAGCGGAAGGGCAGCAGCACAAAGAUCCCUGCUUAGGGCCCAAUAGGCCAUUCUUGAGCCAGCUGGUUCAGGUGUAGGAAGGGACUUGAGACACAAUUGAAGCACCAACCCAGGAACUCCUGAACUUCCGACCCAUGUUUGAGGCUUGCUGAGUGACCCUGCCAACUUCCCUCUGGAUCCAUCUGGCCAAGCAGAAGCUGCACCCAGGCCCUGCAGUGUACCCUGCACAAUGACAGCAAAUGACUCCAGGUCUGUCUCAAAUGAUUACUGGCAGCAGGGCCAACAGAUGGGGAGCUUGGACUAAAGCUGUGCCUGAGAAGCAGCAGCUGAUCUCCAAGAUGUGCCCCUAUCUCGUGUCUGACUGUGCAAUUCACGCCUGCCAGAUGCUGGGCAGGGCAUAAUCAGAAGGGCCAGUUAAACUGUACACACUCCUUGCUCUAAAUACAAGAGAGGCAACAACUGGUAGGAACAAUGGAUAGCCAUAUGGAAAGAUCUAGCAAAGGGAAAAGAACUUGUAACAUUGCACUAGGCUUCCAGCUGUGUUAAAUGAGUUUGUGUGGUCUCGACACUAGGAAAGCUCACAGACUGAAUGUUUCUGGGGGCCCAUCAUGUUAUUUUUGUGAAGGUCAUUUCAGUGUCCAACAAAUAUCCAGAAAAAGAGAAGCCUACGACUUGGUGGCAGAGAGUCAGCCACUGCCUUGUCUCUCUUUUUCGGAAUAAGGACUUUCUGUUAUCAUAGUGCCUUGGGAUAGCUCUAUUGCAUCCCCUGGCAGAUGGAGAAACGCAGGAAUAGGAAGGAGCCUGGCUUCCCACACACACACAAAAAAAGUGGAUUCCAUACGCUGCAGAUAAAAGAAUGUUCAGGCUUGACCAGGACACUCGCCAUGGGGGAGGAGAGAGGGCUUAAGAUUACCAGGAAGGCCAAUGCUGAAGGACAUACACACGGUUUAGCUUACCCCUGGAAUUUUAUUAGUGGAGAGAUUUGUCUUGGUUUGGGAGGGGAAGCUGGGAUGGACAGGACCGGCACCUAUCUGGGGGGUAUCUUCCCAGACAUCAGGUGUUCCUCCAUUCAGGUUUAGAGAAAACACCCUCAUUAAU
Loxodonta africana (African savanna elephant) is the source of this 12028-nucleotide long non-coding RNA. RefSeq lists it as uncharacterized. The transcript has 3 exons. Lineage: Eukaryota; Metazoa; Chordata; Mammalia; Proboscidea; Elephantidae. The record is from RefSeq and is a predicted model, not a curated record.